GAUGAACGCUGGCGGCGCGCCUAACACAUGCAAGUCGAACGAUUAAAGCACCUUCGGGUGUGUAUAAAGUGGCGAACGGCUGAGUAACACGUGGGCAACCUGCCCCUUUCAUUGGGAUAGCCACGGGAAACCGUGGAUAAUACCGAAUACUUCGAGACUUCCGCAUGGAAGACUCGAGAAAGCUCCGGCGGAGAGGGAUGGGCCCGCGGCCUGUUAGCUUGUUGGUGGGGUAACGGCCUACCAAGGCAAUGAUGGGCAGCUGGGUUGAGAGACCGACCAGCCAGAUUGGGACUGAGACACGGCCCAGACUCCUACGGGAGGCAGCAGUGGGGAAUCUUGCACAAUGGGCGAAAGCCUGAUGCAGCGACGCCGCGUGCGGGAUGAAGGCCUUCGGGUUGUAAACCGCUUUCAGCAGGGACGAGGCGAAAGUGACGGUACCUGCAGAAGAAGCCCCGGCUAACUACGUG
This 467-nucleotide ribosomal RNA is filed under the name uncultured bacterium. RNAcentral describes it as "partial 16S ribosomal RNA". It matches the Rfam family "Bacterial small subunit ribosomal RNA", at positions 28 to 507 of the family's 1533-position model. The record is from RNAcentral.